CUGGCGGCAUGCCUAACACAUGCAAGUCGAACGGCUCUUCGGAGCAGUGGCGCACGGGUGAGUAACGCGUGGGAAUCUACCCUGAGGUUCGGAAUAACGGUUGGAAACGACCGCUAAUACCGGAUGUGCCCUAUGGGGGCAAAGGCUUGCCGCCUUGGGAGGAGCCCGCGUCCGAUUAGCUUGUUGGUGGGGUAAUGGCCUACCAAGGCAAUGACGGAUAGCGGGUUUGAGAGGAUGAUCCGCCACACUGGUACUGAGACACGGACCAGACUCC
This 274-nucleotide ribosomal RNA is filed under the name uncultured bacterium. RNAcentral's name for it is "partial 16S ribosomal RNA". It matches the Rfam family "Bacterial small subunit ribosomal RNA", at positions 36 to 339 of the family's 1533-position model. The record is from RNAcentral.